RNAcentral lists this ribosomal RNA (762 nucleotides) under uncultured rumen protozoa. Its description in RNAcentral is "bacterial SSU rRNA". It matches the Rfam family "Eukaryotic small subunit ribosomal RNA", at positions 360 to 1264 of the family's 1831-position model. The record is from RNAcentral.
ACGGAGAGGGCUCCUGGUUUCGGGACGGAUAGGUUCGAUUCUGGAGAAGAGCCUGAGAACGGCUACUACAUCUACGGAAGGCAGCAGGCGCGUAAUUACCCUUCCUCACUCAGGGAGGUGGUGACAAGAUAUAACGACCCGAUUAAUGUCGUGAUUGUAGUGAGGAUAUUCCAAACAGAAUCACAAGAACGAUUAGAGGGCAAGUCUGGUGCCAGCAGCCGCGGUAAUUCCAGCUCUAAUAGCGUAUAUUAAAGUUGCUGCAGUUAAAAGCUCGUAGUUGGAUUUCAAGGAUUACCCAUUCCUUUUGUUAUUUUGUACCCUACUAGCCAGUAUUGGCUGUUACUGUGAGAAAAUUAGAGUGUUUAAAGCAGGCUCAUGCAAGAUACAUUAGCAUGUAUACGAAUGAGUCAUGAUCUGGUAAUCCGACCGAGAGGGGACAGGGGGGGCAUAGUAUUUAUGUCAGAGUGAAUUCCUCGACUCUGUCAUAUUACUUAUCGUAUGCGAAGCAUUUGCCAAGGAUGUUUUCAUCAUCACCACCACCACACGGAUCAAGACAUCAGAUACUGUCGUAGUCUAUCUAUAACUAUGCGACUAGGGAUUGACUGCAUUUACCAUUCCAGUACCUUAUGAGAAUCAGUCUUGGGUUCUGGGGGGAGUAUGUCCGCAGACUGACUUAGACUGACGAGGACCCACAGAGUGGACCUGCGCUUAUCUGACUCAACCGGAACUACAGGUCGACUAGUAGAUGCGACGAGCUUCUUG